GGGCUCGUAGCUCAGCAUGGAAGAGCGCCGGACUUUUAAUCCGUUGGCCGCGGGUUCAAAUCCCGCCGAGCCCG
This 74-nucleotide transfer RNA is filed under the name Thermoprotei archaeon. Its description in RNAcentral is "tRNA-Lys". It matches the Rfam family "tRNA". From Rfam's summary of the family: Transfer RNA (tRNA) molecules are approximately 80 nucleotides in length. Their secondary structure includes four short double-helical elements and three loops (D, anti-codon, and T loops). Lineage: Archaea; Thermoproteati; Thermoproteota; Thermoprotei. The record is from RNAcentral. RNAcentral also lists the same sequence under 4 other names.